RNAcentral lists this ribosomal RNA (301 nucleotides) under uncultured bacterium. Its description in RNAcentral is "partial 16S ribosomal RNA". It matches the Rfam family "Bacterial small subunit ribosomal RNA", at positions 509 to 809 of the family's 1533-position model. The record is from RNAcentral.
CAGCCGCCGCGGUAAUACGUAGGUGGCAAGCGUUGUCCGGAAUUAUUGGGCGUAAAGGGCUCGCAGGCGGUUUCUUAAGUCUGAUGUGAAAGCCCCCGGCUCAACCGGGGAGGGUCAUUGGAAACUGGGAAACUUGAGUGCAGAAGAGGAGAGUGGAAUUCCACGUGUAGCGGUGAAAUGCGUAGAGAUGUGGAGGAACACCAGUGGCGAAGGCGACUCUCUGGUCUGUAACUGACGCUGAGGAGCGAAAGCCAGGGGAGCGAACGGGAUUAGAUACCCCGGUAGUCCUGUCUCUUAUACA